CCUUCUAUUGUUCAAGCCUGAAAGGCGCGGAUCUGCGCGGUUCGGAUCUGUCGCGUGCGGACUUGCGCGGCGCCAUCCUGCGUGGGGCGG
This 90-nucleotide transfer RNA is filed under the name Oceanicaulis sp. HTCC2633. RNAcentral describes it as "tRNA-Arg". The record is from RNAcentral. Lineage: Bacteria; Pseudomonadati; Pseudomonadota; Alphaproteobacteria; Maricaulales; Maricaulaceae.